Molecule: ribosomal RNA, 497 nt
Filed under: uncultured bacterium
Lineage: Bacteria
Description: partial 16S ribosomal RNA
Rfam family: Bacterial small subunit ribosomal RNA
Source: RNAcentral
GAUGAACGCUGGCGGCGUGCCUAAUACAUGCAAGUCGAGCGAACGGACGAGAAGCUUUCUUCUCUUAUGUUAGCGGCGGACGGGUGAGUAACACGUGGAUAACCUACCUAUAAGACUGGGAUAACUUCGGGAAACCGUAGCUAAUACCGGAUAAUAUUUUCAACCGCAUGGUUCAAAAGUGAAAGACGGUCUUGCUGUCACUUAUAGAUGGAUCCGCGCUGCAUUAGCUAGUUGGUAAGGUAACGGCUUACCAAGGCAACGAUGCAUAGCCGACCUGAGAGGGUGAUCGGCCACACUGGAACUGAGACACGGUCCAGACUCCUACGGGAGGCAGCAGUAGGGAAUCUUCCGCAAUGGGCGAAAGCCUGACGGAGCAACGCCGCGUGAGUGAUGAAGGUCUUCGGAUCGUAAAACUCUGUUAUUAGGGAAGAACAUAUGUGUAAGUAACUGUGCACAUCUUGACGGUACCUAAUCAGAAAGCCACGGCUAACUACGUG